CAAUAGCGUAUAUUAAAGUUGUUGCGGUUAAAAAGCUCGUAGUUGGAUUUCUGCUGAGAACGACCGGUCCGCCCUCUGGGUGUGUAUCUGGCUCUUUCUUGGCAUCUUCUUGGUGAACGUUGCUGCACUUGACUGUGUGGAGCGCUACCCAGGACUUUUACUUUGAGGAAAUUAGAGUGUUUCAAGCAGGCAUACGCCUUGAAUACAUUAGCAUGGAAUAAUAAGAUAGGACCUCGGUUCUAUUUUGUUGGUUUCUAGAGCUGAGGUAAUGAUUAAUAGGGAUAGUUGGGGGCAUUCGUAUUUAACUGUCAGAGGUGAAAUUCUUGGAUUUUUUAAAGACGGACUACUGCGAAAGCAUUUGCCAAGGAUGUUUUCAUUGA
Molecule: ribosomal RNA, 380 nt
Filed under: uncultured eukaryote
Lineage: Eukaryota
Description: partial 18S ribosomal RNA
Rfam family: Eukaryotic small subunit ribosomal RNA
Source: RNAcentral